AAGACGAAAGUAACCGAACCCUAAUUGUCUCUGUUUCAGUCUCAAUGGCUGAAACCACCACAGAGGGAGCUUCCCAAGUGGUAAAAUCCGUUAGGUUUAGCUUCAUGACAGAGGAAGAUGUCCGAAAGCAUAGCGUUCUCGAAGUUACAAACCAUGUCUUACUCGAUAACGUUGGGAGAUCCUCUCAUGGGUCCUAUGGAAGAUAGAUCAUGCUAAGAAAGAGAAGGACUUGCUGCGGAAAUCGAAACCUCAUAGUAUUGAACUAGCUAGUCAGAGUAAGCUUAGAAGAAUCUCGCUUAGAAGACACUGCAAGGAUUCAGACGAUGGAUAUGGAGUUGUUGAAUUGCUACAAAGAAAUUGGUUACUUGCGAGAUCUACUGAUUUUUAAAAGCAAGGAAGUGAAUUAUCUCAACGAGCACGUUCACAGUCUUGAAUCCAAACUGACUGAACCAGGGAACUUGGAAGAAGAAGUUAAGCUCUUGAGAGAGGAUUUGUAAGACCCAACACAGAUGUUAUUCAGCCAUGGGACUCCUGCAUCAUUCGAGUUGUAUCAAAAAUAGCACUGCUAAUCUCAUUCUUUUGAUGCAAACUGAUCUUUUGACAUGGUUUCUAUUUCGUUUGGGUGAUUAUACUGGAAGCUAGUUAGGUCCGGUUAGACCACCUCUGUUUUGUUAGGGUGAUUAUCCAAAGGUGUCUGCUUGAGAAUGAUUUUGAUUUUAAUUGACAGAGCAAUGGAUCAGAAGAAGCAAGCUUCCCUUAUGCAGCUUCCUCUGCUUCUUACAAGCCUCCAUCGACCACGGCUGUAGCAGAGAAAGUUGCAGAGGCUGCAGGAAAAUUGUCAAGGAAUGUGUCUAUGAUACAGAGGAAAGGGUACACAAGCGACGAGGAGCUUGAGAAAAAUUGUCAAGGAAUGUGUCUAUGAAUCUAUAGCUAUUUCUUUUAUGUAAUUUUUCAAGAACCGUUUGGGAGAUUUAAGAGAAAAAGAUGACACUGUUAUAUGCUUAAACAA
Raphanus sativus (radish) is the source of this 1009-nucleotide long non-coding RNA. RefSeq lists it as uncharacterized. Lineage: Eukaryota; Viridiplantae; Streptophyta; Magnoliopsida; Brassicales; Brassicaceae. The record is from RefSeq and is a predicted model, not a curated record. The transcript has 5 exons.